RNAcentral lists this ribosomal RNA (943 nucleotides) under uncultured Wolbachia sp. RNAcentral's name for it is "bacterial SSU rRNA". It matches the Rfam family "Bacterial small subunit ribosomal RNA", at positions 1 to 919 of the family's 1533-position model. The record is from RNAcentral. Lineage: Bacteria; Pseudomonadati; Pseudomonadota; Alphaproteobacteria; Rickettsiales; Anaplasmataceae.
UCCAACGCGUUGGGAGCUCUCCCAUAUGGUCGACCUGCAGGCGGCCGCGAAUUCACUAGUGAUUAGAGUUUGAUCAUGGCUCANAAUGAACGCUGGCGGCAGGCCUAACACAUGCAAGUCGAACGGAGUUAUAUUGUAGCUUGCUAUGGUAUAACUUAGUGGCAGACGGGUGAGUAAUGUAUAGGAAUCUACCUAGUAGUACGGAAUAAUUGUUGGAAACGGCAACUAAUACCGUAUACCACCCUACGGGGGAAAAAUUUAUUGCUAUUAGAUGAGCCUAUAUUAGAUUAGCUAGUUGGUGGAGUAAUAGCCUACCAAGGCAAUGAUCUAUAGCUGAUCUGAGAGGAUGAUCAGCCACACUGGAACUGAGAUACGGUCCAGACUCCUACGGGAGGCAGCAGUGGGGAAUAUUGGACAAUGGGCGAAAGCCUGAUCCAGCCAUGCCGCAUGAGUGAAGAAGGCCUUUGGGUUGUAAAGCUCUUUUAGUGAGGAAGAUAAUGACGGUACUCACAGAAGAAGUCCUGGCUAACUCCGUGCCAGCAGCCGCGGUAAUACGGAGAGGGCUAGUGUUAUUCGGAAUUAUUGGGCGUAAAGGGCGCGUAGGCUGGUUAGUAAGUUAAAAGUGAAAUCCCGAGGCUUAACCUUGGAACUGCUUUUAAAACUGCUAACCUAGAGAUUGAAAGAGGAUAGAGGAAUUCCUAGUGUAGAGGUGAAAUUCGUAAAUAUUAGGAGGAACACCAGUGGCGAAGGCGUCUAUCUGGUUCAAAUCUGACGCUGAGGCGCGAAGGCGUGGGGAGCAAACAGGAUUAGAUACCCUGGUAGUCCACGCUGUAAACGAUGAAUGUUAAAUAUGGGAAGUUUACUUUCUGUAUUACAGCUAACGCGUUAAACAUUCCGCCUGGGGACUACGGUCGCAGAUUAAAACUCAAGGAAUUGACGGGGA